AUACGGAGGGUCCAAGCGUUAUCCGGAUUCAUUGGGUUUAAAGGGUGCGCAGGCGGAUAAUUAAGUCAGUGGUGAAAUCCUCCCGCUCAACGGGAGAACUGCCAUUGAUACUGAUAAUCUGGAAUACGGUUGAAGUGGGCGGAAUGUAGCAUGUAGCGGUGAAAUGCAUAGAGAUGCUACAGAACACCGAUCGCGAAGGCAGCUCACUAAGCCGAUAUUGACGCUCAGGCACGGAAGCGUGGGUAGCGAACAGGAUUAGAAACCCCAGUAGUCC
This 274-nucleotide ribosomal RNA is filed under the name uncultured bacterium. RNAcentral's name for it is "partial 16S ribosomal RNA". It matches the Rfam family "Bacterial small subunit ribosomal RNA", at positions 523 to 796 of the family's 1533-position model. The record is from RNAcentral.